AUACGGAGGGUGCAAGCGUUAUUCGGAAUCACUGGGCGUAAAGGACGCGUAGGCGGGUUGGCAAGUCAGAUGUGAAAUCCUACAGCUUAACUGUAGAACUGCAUUUGAAACUGCUAACCUAGAGUAUGGGAGGGGGAGAUGGAAUUAGUGGUGUAGGGGUAAAAUCAGUAGAUAUCACUAGGAAUACCGAAAGCGAAGGCGAUCUCCUGGAACAUAACUGACGCUAAGGCGUGAAAGCGUGGGGAGCAAACGGGAUUAGAAACCCCAGUAGUCC
This 274-nucleotide ribosomal RNA is filed under the name uncultured bacterium. RNAcentral's name for it is "partial 16S ribosomal RNA". It matches the Rfam family "Bacterial small subunit ribosomal RNA", at positions 523 to 796 of the family's 1533-position model. The record is from RNAcentral.